Molecule: long non-coding RNA, 1387 nt
Filed under: Felis catus (domestic cat)
Lineage: Eukaryota; Metazoa; Chordata; Mammalia; Carnivora; Felidae
Description: lncRNA (ENSFCAG00000047209.1)
Source: RNAcentral
AUGGAGCCCACCUCCACAAGCUGGUACCAAGAGGUUACUUCCUUGAGCAAACAGCUUGUCCUCCUGUGGAACACAGACACUUACACGGAAUAUCAGCAUCCAACAAGGCUGCUAACGGAUCAUCAAGACGAAGACAAGACCCCUGGGUCAUCACCGAACACGGAUGACCGCAUGAACAUCGUUCGGGCCACAGAAGGACCAAACCUCCCCGGCCCGGCUGCAGGAGCACCGGCUGCUUCACCAGCCCCGGCUCUGGACAGGACCAGACUCCCUUCCCUGUGGGUGAGGGUCACCCAGAACCCCCCUUCCUUCCAGCGGCCGGUCCGGAGCAGACCCCCGCCUCCUCAGGCCCCCCACAUCCCCCAGCACUCCCCCAACACCCUCUAAGUCCUUUCUAACCCCCUUACUGAGUGCCCACGCUGUUGGGGUGGCUCUCCCUGGCACCCCCCCUCCCCCCAGUGUCCACGUCCUAAUCCCCAGAGAGUCUAUUACCUUGCAGGACAAAAGACACUUGGCAGAUGUGAUUAAGGAUCUUCAGAUGGAGGGAUGGUCCUGGGUCACCAAAGUCUUCCUGCAGACCCUCAGACUGAGGGCGAGAGAGCUGGAGGGGAGGUGGGAGGUUCGAGCCCGGCUGGUGGCUGUGCCAGCUGAAAGGGAGACUGUCUGCCGCGGAUACUCCUCUGGUGACAGGGCCCUGGUGGCCGGCUGGGGGAGGUGACCCAGCGCGGCCAGUGGGCAGAAUUGCCGGGCUGGGCUGGAGGGGUGGGGGCUCUGGCCGAGAGCGGGUGGCCGCCUGACUCUCCCUCUGGUUCUGGCUCCAGCAUUAAGAUUCAUCUGCUCUGGGCCUUCGUCCCAGUUGAAACCCAGGCGUCCCUCUGUCUUAGGCGCUGGGUGGCCUGCUGGCCCACUGGUUGGUGGGGGGGGGGUGUGAGUCUGGUUCAAUCUGAGGACCAUUUUCCAUGUUUUCCAUGGGCCUCAUCUAUGCUAGGCUUUGCAUUUGGGGCUGGGCUGCAGAUGGGAGCCCUGGGCAGCUCCGGGGGCAGGGGACCCGGACUCUGAAACCAAUUUGCCACUGGUGUGGCAAGGGCUAUGAUACUGGGAGCCCAGAAAGGGCCCUGGGGAGCUGGAGGGGGAGAUACCCCUCUCUUCCUGGGAGUUCAGUGGCAGUUUCCUACAGAGGGCAGACCUCAGCUGGGGACUCCGGGACCAGCGCUCACCCCCGAGGCCGGUGCCCUUGAGCGUGGAGGUUCCCGUUAAGUACCCCAGGCCUGGUGCCUGCCUGUGAGGGUCUUGGGUUCAGAUCCAGGCACUGAGGCAAGGCAGGGGCGCCUGACAGGGUGAACUCGGCAGGACCCGGCCUGCCAGCCACGUGGGCCUGAUUCUUCUU